Phragmites australis (common reed) is the source of this 2367-nucleotide RNA transcript. It is a transcript of the gene named serine/threonine-protein kinase D6PK-like, with no coding region annotated. NCBI's taxonomy places the organism in Eukaryota, Viridiplantae, Streptophyta, Magnoliopsida, Poales, Poaceae. The transcript has 5 exons. The record is from RefSeq and is a predicted model, not a curated record.
AUAUUUCAUCCAUUCCCCAUUUGUUUUAGGUUUCUCCCAUUUAUUUCGCCCUUCCCUUCCCCCCGCUGCCACCACCAGCUCCCCGUGGGGAACCGCCCCCUCGAUCUCCUCCCGAACCCACCGGCGGCGGCGGCGGAGGCGAGCGGCGACGGCAAGCUCCCCAAGGCAGCAUCUACUCAUCUCUGUGGUAGGUUUGAAUUCGCCUCUCCGGUUCUUGAUUGGUUGGUCGCCCGUGGUGAUGGGAGGAGGGGCGUGGUCGUCUCCUUAGGGAAUUCUUUUGGGGAUUUCUGUUAUGGCUUCGAAGGCCGUUCCUGAAAUAAUCGCUAAGAAAUGCGAUAAACCCGUGGCGGAAUCCGCCGCACCAUUGACUUCUCAGAGGCAGUCCCAAGGACCGACUGCGAAAGCAAGCGAGCUGGGGCCUGCUUCACCGAGUGAGAUUACCACAGCUGAUGUAGCUACAUCCAGUGGGGUGAAAGAACUCAGUAAGGAUAGCAGCAAUUCUACUGAUGGUUCUGUGAAGUUAGAUGAAACUGAAGAUGCUGAGAAGAAUUCACUGCGAGGGAGUGUUAAAGAUAGCUCAGUAUCUGCUAAAUGCAGCGACAGAGAGAGCAACCUGUCAAAAGCCAGUGGGAGCGCAAAGGUCAGCGGCCAAGCUGCCGAUUUGAUCGAGAGCAGCAAGAGUAGCCUUUAUCGGGCCAGUGGUGGUAGUGAUGUGAGUGAUGAGAGCACCUGCAGCAGCAUGUACAGCAGUGUCAGCAAGCCUCACAAGUCAAAUGAUUCAAGGUGGGAAGCGAUUCAGGCGGUUCGAACCAAAGAAGGUUCGAUAGGGCUGGGCCAUUUCAGGCUACUUAAGAGGCUUGGCUGUGGUGACAUUGGCAGCGUGUAUUUAUCAGAACUUAGUGGCACAAAAUGCCACUUUGCCAUGAAGAUCAUGGACAAGGCAUCUCUAGCAAGCCGCAAAAAGCUGCUGAGAGCUCAGACAGAAAGGGAGAUAUUACAGUGCCUGGACCAUCCUUUUCUUCCAACAUUGUACACUCACUUUGAGACAGAUAAAUUCUCGUGCUUGGUGAUGGAGUUUUGCCCUGGAGGAGACCUGCAUACCCUAAGACAAAAGCAGCCUGGCAAAUAUUUUCCUGAACAAGCUGCCAAGUUUUAUGUAGCAGAGGUGCUUCUUGCUCUGGAAUACCUACACAUGCUUGGUAUCAUAUAUCGUGAUUUAAAGCCAGAGAAUGUUCUUGUAAGAGAAGAUGGCCAUAUCAUGCUGUCGGAUUUUGAUUUAUCCCUCCGAUGUGCUGUGAGCCCUACUCUUCUCAGAUCUUCUAACCCCAGCGCAGACCAAAAGGGCAAUCCAGCUUACUGUGUGCAGCCUCUGUGCCUUGAGCCAGCCUGCAUCCAGCCAUCUUGUGUCACAACAACCACAUGCUUCUCUCCUCGCUUUUUCUCCUCGAAGUCCAAGAAGGAGAAGAAGGAGAAGAAGGCAAAAACAGACCUGGCAAAUCAGGUCAGACCACUUCCUGAGCUCGUUGCAGAACCCACAGAAGCAAGAUCUAUGUCUUUUGUUGGCACACAUGAGUACUUGGCACCUGAGAUUAUAAAGGGUGAGGGGCAUGGAAGUGCUGUGGACUGGUGGACGUUUGGCAUAUUCUUGUAUGAACUUCUUUUUGGCAAGACACCAUUCAAAGGUUCUGGGAAUAGGGCAACGUUGUUCAAUGUAGUUGGACAACCCCUAAGGUUCCCAGAAUCCCCAGUAGUGAGUUUUGCUGCGAGGGAUCUUAUUAGGGGAUUGCUCAUCAAGGAACCGCAGCAUCGGUUAGCGUAUAAGCGUGGAGCCACUGAAAUAAAGCAGCAUCCCUUCUUCGAAGGUGUUAACUGGGCAUUGAUAAGGUGUGCCACGCCACCAGAUAUCCCCAAGCCAGUCGAGAUCCCUCGUGCAGUAGCCUCAUCAAGCCAGAAGGCUACGUCAGCAGCUGAUAAAGAUGUAGUAGUUGCAUGCCCUUCAAAAUGAUAUGGUUGUCCCUCAUCUGCUAGUCCUGUGGGUCCAACAGGUAUGCAGCCUACUGUGGCAGAAAAUCUUGCUUCUGGGGUAGAACCUGGAUGAUGGUCCAAGAAAAUAUUGCUCAAAGGUUUUUGCUAAUUUGUGAUGCCGAAAACGUGUAAUACUUCUUGACGCCUGGCGGGUACAGCGAGGGCCGCAACGCACAUCUUCCAGUCGUACAGAGAUCAGCCUAUGGCAAAUAUUCAUCUGUUUUCUAUUCAUGUGAUUUGAAUGUUCCAUGAAUGCUUAAAGUGAGCGAAGUACACUUAUACAUAUGCGAGAAAGUUGUAUUUUCUCGAGAAUGAACAAAACCGCCUUUCGAUUUGAGUGCA